GACGAACGCUGGCGGCGUGCUUAACACAUGCAAGUCGAACGGAAAGGCCCUGCUUGCAGGGUACUCGAGUGGCGAACGGGUGAGUAACACGUGGGUGAUCUGCCCUGCACUUCGGGAUAAGCCUGGGAAACUGGGUCUAAUACCGGAUAGGAGCCAUUUUUAGUGUGAUGGUUGGAAAGUUUUUUCGGUUUAUGAUGAGCUCGCGGGCUAUCGGCUUGUUGGUGGGGUAAUGGCCUACCAAGGCGGCGACGGGUAGCCGGCCUGAGAGGGUGGACGGCCACAUAGGGACUGAGGUACGGCCCAGACUGCUACGGGAGGCAGCAGGGGGGAAUAUUGCACAAUGGGCGCAAGGCGGAUGCAGCGACGCCGCGGAGGGGAUGACGGCCUUCGGGGUGUAAACUCCUUUCGCUAGGGACGAAGCUUUUCGUGACGGUACCUAGAUAAGAAGCACCGGCUAACUACGUG
RNAcentral lists this ribosomal RNA (465 nucleotides) under uncultured bacterium. RNAcentral describes it as "partial 16S ribosomal RNA". It matches the Rfam family "Bacterial small subunit ribosomal RNA", at positions 28 to 507 of the family's 1533-position model. The record is from RNAcentral.